Molecule: small nucleolar RNA, 70 nt
Organism: Paramormyrops kingsleyae
Lineage: Eukaryota; Metazoa; Chordata; Actinopteri; Osteoglossiformes; Mormyridae
Product: small nucleolar RNA SNORD58
Source: RefSeq, a predicted model, not a curated record
GUGCCGUGAUGAUCAUCUUAGGACACCUUUGAAGGUCUAGGCCUGUGAAAAGGAACUUAAUCUGAGCAUG